Long non-coding RNA from Gadus morhua (Atlantic cod), 192 nucleotides. RefSeq lists it as uncharacterized. The transcript has 3 exons. Lineage: Eukaryota; Metazoa; Chordata; Actinopteri; Gadiformes; Gadidae. The record is from RefSeq and is a predicted model, not a curated record.
GUCUCCUUACAAUGCUGGAGACGCAGCGUCACUUCUCCACAAACAAAAUUCUCACUGACUUGAGUCGUUGCGUUCUUCCGCAAUGAAAAGGGUGAUCUUGGUCUUGUGCAUCAUUGCACUAUCUUCCUGUUUUCCACUCUCUGAUGAGCGGAACAGACGAGUCAAGCGCUCAGACGAGAGCGACGAGGUGAG